AAGCGGUCGACUUUGGCUGGAGCCAAUUCACGCUUUGUUUACUCGUUUGAGGUGAUAUCCAACGGCGAGCAAAGUAAAGUCCACAGGAGGAGCGCUUGUUGUUAUUGACCGGGUAAAAUAUCGCUAAACCGAACGAAAAUUCCACACCAUUCACACCCUUGUCGGAUCCCCACUGUGCUAAAUCAACAUAUUUCACCCAAGGGUGUUGUAGCGAUUGCCUAAAUAACUCGUUAAUAGUCGCUCACUUCACUUCGUCGCCAACUUGUUUAAGUAGGUGAGUUUCCUCAAUCUCGUGGGAUGGUGAGGUGUUCUCCCUCGGCGUCCUUGUCACACUCUGACAAGACCAACAGCAACAUCACCAAUAUGGAUGAUAUGGACACAGGCUUCUUCUCUCCAAUGAGCGUGCCCUCCUUACAACAAGCCCUAUUCUGCUACUAAUCGUACAUACGGGUGGAAGACGAGCGGAUCCGAAGCACAUGUCUCAUACAACAUGGUCUUUGCCAGGCGGAUACGAUCCCCAGAAACCACCACGGCUACUUCUAAUACGAUCGCCAACGCCACCGUCAUCACCACUUCGCCUUCAAGCUCCAAGCUUCACCAAGACCAGGUUUUGGAUUGUGGACGGUGCGGACGGUGUGGACUGGAGUCGCUUUGUCUUGUGCUGCGGAUAUUCUCCACAUGGAAGGUAGCAAGUAAGCGGGUGAGCGAGCUCUCAAUCCUUAGCCGGCUUUUUUGCACCUGCCUGUCUCUCCUUCGAUAUCUAUCGCUCACCAUGUAUGAACCUAUGGCUCUCCUGGAGAAGUACUGUCCAUGAUGUUUUCUCUAAUAUUAGGGACUGGACAAAUGCGGCAUCGGGAAGUGAUGCUACCGACAGUGCAUGUGCCAUAUUGGGGAGCUGCUAACCCAACCCAGCGCGUCAGAUUUUGCAUCACAAAGAGGAUCGGCGAGGUGAAACAGUAGCCCUUGGAAAGGAGAUUUUGAAAAGAAAAAAAGCGGACCCCAAAGCAAAUCCAUCAUCAAUAGUUUCAUUCAUGACAAAGAAGUCGAAAUUGGCGGCCUCACCAGUUGUCAGCUAUCGGCUUACGUGGACGGAGACUAGAGAGAGAACGUAUUAUUCUGUUCGGUUCAUCGGGCACAGCUGGUCACUGUCUCACCGUCCAAAGCAUCAUCCCCCAUCAUCCCUAUCCAGAUGAUUCUGAUUUGUUCAUGUUGGCAAAGCCUGUUAGGAGAGACCCAGCGAGAAGCAUUGAGGUCUCCACGUUCAAUAAUCUCCUGAAGUGUCCACUUGUCAAAGAGAUUUCAUUUUACUAAUUUGGAUCUCCCGGCACUUUUUGUUUGUUACGCUGAAUGGUCAAAUUAGCGACAGUCUGCGUCCUGUUUAUCUUGAUUGAAGAUCGGGACCCUUCAAUCACAUCUUCACAUCAGUACAAUUAGAGCAAAAACAGGAUCGCUUUAUGACCACCAAUCAAUCCAUCCAUCCAACCUUGGUCUCCAUAAGUGGAAUUGGUGUAUUUAUUUAUGAGAGCACCUUCAGAAGCAAGCUGACAUGAAUGCAUAUAUAAUAGUGCCCAGAUGAUUGCCACUUUUUCUCCUUCGUCUUGUAAGGUUGAAAUGUCAGGUCUCGAAUUAUGCAUUGAAAUCGACGUUCAAAAAAUAAUGACAAUUUGGCCAAAUCGCACCAUCGCCUUGUAGUGAGUUCAAGUGCGAAUUCAGAGAAGGCAAAUGACUACUUACAAGCAACUCAAAUCGCCAUGUCAAAUGGGAGGGGGGGGAGGGUCCCCUCUCCAAGUUGCCUCGAAAGGUUCAGCAGGACUUGGAAGUGGUUGAGCGUGCAAAUGUCGGGAUGUUAUUGUACCUGACUUAUCCCUCUCAAACUUCGACAUGGCCUGUUGUGAAAUAAGUACUGAACAAAUUCCUCCAGAAUAUGGACCACUUCGAUAGCCCAAGGCCCAAUUCUCACGUGUUUUCCUGCGCCCCAAAAUCCAUCCCGAGGUUUGGCUGCAGAGAUCUUUACCCAAGUCCAGGGCUCAUUGUGUUCUGCUUUGAUAAGGGGUCAAGACGACUCGAGAAAGAUAUGGAAGCGAGCAACGUGCCCAAUAAAACCUGGUUCGAUAUCACUUUUUCCAAUUCUUCAUCAAUGUCGUCAUCGUCAUAUUGGGCGAGUUCCUCCUCGUACUGCAAGCAAAGAAAUUUUCAUGAAUGAAAUGAAAUGAAACCAAGAUAGAUAUACCACGCACUCCGAGAAAAUCGAAUGAGUCGCUUUCAAUGCUUCCAAUCCAUUAGGGCCUCAUCUUCAACCUCAAGAUGAUCUUUAGUACUCAACGAGAGGUGGUAAACAUCGAUAAAAACACGCCGGGUUAAUGGCCGCUAAUCUCAUAAAGCAAAGUCUACCGGACAGGCUGUAUGACAAAAACCAUAGGAAUUUGGGCCUAUCAUUCGUCACUAGGCCUGCUAAGGUUGCGUUUGAUAUGAAGGCAUCGUGUGCCUGGUUGAAUCCGAGACUCCUGGAGUUAUGUGCCCCGUCUCCCUGUCUCUCACUUCAAGUUCUAACCCGCCAUGAAACGAGGUGUGAAAGUGUGACCAAAACAGUCAGCUCGCAACUAUAAUCUGUACUCAGUACUCCGAGAUACCACAUGAACUUGCACUUGGAUCGGCCUUGAACGGGAAUUCAAUCCUGGCCAGGGUUGAGAUUGUUUUGUCACGGCCGUGAUGAUGAGCAUCAAUCCGUGGCCAUAUUUGGGACGUGAUAGCUUUUGAGUCCGGUUUGUCAUCAGCUUUAUAGAAUGUGACCGCGAAUAUAUGAUGAUGAAUGGACGCUGAAACACCUUGUUUGUUGAUCUCAUGAAAGUCAAACACGAAAACCAACGAGGAUACAAGGAUUCAACAAGACAUGAAAAAACAUGGCCCCCAACUCUCUUCCGGGGUCUGAUCCCUUCUUUUAGUUCUUUGAGUGUGUACCAAUAAUAUUAUCUCAAGGAUUGGGUUCUUGUAAACCCACCUGAUAUCAUCGUUCCUUUGAUCUUUGAUACGGACCGGUGACAAGACUCGGGAAUGACUCUUGACUUGUUCAAUUACGAUUCUUCGGAAUUCUUUUUGUUCUCGUGACGUCGGAAGUGGAGUAACUCAUUGCGAAGGAAGGCAAUGAAUCAGAAUGGAGGUCCGUUAAAAAAAAAUGUUAACCAUUGGCUUGGGUGUGUACCCACAAUGUGUGUAGUGACAACAAGAGCCUCCUGCCAAAUGGAUUUAAUGGAAGAAUCUCAUUGCAAAAACGUGAUGCACUAAGUGAUCUCUGGACGACUCAUGACAUGCCAAAACGGGGCCUCGAGGCUUAUGAAAAUGCGCCUGAUGAGUCUCUCAUGCCUACUCAACAAACCAGGAAGUGGGUGCGUAACUUCCAAACGAAACGUGCCCCGCAUCUCCCCAAUUUGUGGUCCUUCCAAAGUCUACCGAAUGGCCUCUUCAUUUCAUGAAGGCUUUUUUUGUUUCGCUUUUUUCCAAGCCCUUGAAGGUUAUUUAAUGAAAACCGCCGAGCGGAUCAAACUGGCUAGAUAUCUAAUUAAGAUCUGUCAAGGGCUUCUUCACACUUAGAAAUUUGAUCUCUUGAUUAGAUUCCUUCGCUCAUUAACAGUUAAAAUGAUAAACUCGGGAAUGAUGUGCUCCUGAGGAAAGGUCUGCAAAUAUGAUUCAUGAUCCAAUGAACUGACCAGGUAGCCUUCUCCACUUUCAUUCUCGACCUCCGUCCGUGAAGCCAACGUCUCCUUGAAAAGACCUUGUUAAGCUCCAGGGAAACCUGUUGAGAGGUGAUAAACAAUUGUUUUUUAAAUAUGAGCUCGUCGUCUCGAGUGGACCUAUUCACGGGUUUAUGACCAGAGUCUGGAACCAAGUACAAGGCAAGGUACUCAUUGUGCAAGCUACCAAUGGAGCCUCAUCAUUUCGGCGUUGCACUUCUUCAAGAGGAUUGACCCCCAGCGAAUGCUGCCACAAGCUUGGUAAUUAAAUCAUUAAAUCUAGGGCUUUUAGGGGAUGGCGGGAGCUCUCUGACUGACUUGGAAUCCUGAGGAGAUAUUCAACGCGUGGAGACGCCUUUGGAGGGGCCCAAACCGAAUGGAUAGAUGUAGUGCGUAGAUCUCAAUGACGUGAAUACGGAAACGAGAUGAUUAUCUGUCUCUCCAGAAGGUGCCAAGACACUAACAAUUAAUACAACAUCAAAGUUGGCUUGGCAGUGAAUUGAAACCUUAGCCUCCAAAAUGGUUCGUUCAUCCCCGGUAGAUCAGACUGCCAAUUUAUUGCUUUUCCAUCAGUGAUUUGAACGAUGGAAUAACUUUUCUUGGCCAUAAAUCUAUCAGGUUUAUGGCUCAUCCGGAUUAUCUGUAAAUCAGCAAAUGUUGAUUUUUCGAACAAAGCCAACUGAAUAAUGUGAAAAGACGUGUUUGAACGCGAGUAGAUCAACAGGCUUCGACCACAAACCCUCCACUUGGAAGUUCAUUGUUCGGGUUAAAAGUGGAGGGAAAAGUGUUAGUGAACAAUUGGAGGGGGUAGGUCCUGUAGAUAAGGUUCAUCAGGAUUCUGAUGGAUUGGGUCAAUCCUCUUGGGGUCUAUCCUUUGUGCGGAGAUGAGAAAAUAAAUGUGAUUGCGUGACUUCGACAAAGGUCGAAAAACGGCCCUUUUCAAACAAUACUCGAAUUUAAAUUGCACCAUGACUACUUCUAUCCCUCAUUCAACCAUUGGAGAGGAGAGGGUGAAUGAGAAUGACUCUUUUUCUCUCUUUCUUUUUCUUGCUUCCAAGCUUUUCUUCAUCGAGUCUUGCGUCUUGCGUCUUGUUGUAAUUGGUUUUCUUCCCCCCAGUUUCAAUUACGCACGUCCUUUGAAAAAAACGGACACCGUGAAAUUUGCCUUCUUGGUAUUCUAUGCUUUUGUCAAUAAAAGUCAGCCCAAAGGGCAUGAAGCAUAGACCACGGAAGCCACCCAGGGAUGGCUCGCACUUCCGAAUAUAUUCAAAUCGAAUUUCCAAUUCCGUUCAAGCCCAGAUAAGUAUCUGCCUUUUUUGGCUUAUAAAGAUUACAUUUUCUAGCAUUCUGAGCACUUUCAGAAGAUAAGGUGUUGUUGAACAGGUUUCGUGA
Tigriopus californicus is the source of this 5120-nucleotide RNA transcript. RefSeq lists it as uncharacterized. Lineage: Eukaryota; Metazoa; Arthropoda; Copepoda; Harpacticoida; Harpacticidae. The record is from RefSeq and is a predicted model, not a curated record. The transcript has 3 exons.